This 333-nucleotide RNase P RNA is filed under the name Flavobacterium psychrophilum. Its description in RNAcentral is "bacterial RNase P". It matches the Rfam family "Bacterial RNase P class A". From Rfam's summary of the family: Ribonuclease P (RNase P) is a ubiquitous endoribonuclease, found in archaea, bacteria and eukarya as well as chloroplasts and mitochondria. Its best characterised activity is the generation of mature 5'-ends of tRNAs by cleaving the 5'-leader elements of precursor-tRNAs. Lineage: Bacteria; Pseudomonadati; Bacteroidota; Flavobacteriia; Flavobacteriales; Flavobacteriaceae. The record is from RNAcentral.
CCCGCAGGCCGUCUUAUCGCCGUUGUGUUUACACGAGGGAGGAAAGUCCGGACACCAUAGGGUAGCAUAGCGGGUAAUGCCCGUCAUUCUGUUUUAGCUUACUGAAACAGGAGAGGACAAGUGCAACAGAAAGUAUGUACAGGUAAUGCUGUAGUGAAACCAGGUAAACUCUAUGCGGUGAAAUGCCAUGUACACCGGCAAUUAAGGGCUACCCGCCCGAUGCCGGGGGGUAGGCAGAUUGAUCCUUCACAGUAAUGUAAGGACUAGAUAAAUGAUAAGAAACCCCGCUUUAGGGCGGGGUUACAGAAUCCGGCUUACAGGCCUGCUAUUUUU